CCACGCCGUAAACGAUGAGUGCUAGGUGUCGGGAGUCAAAUCUCGGUGCCGCAGUUAACGCAAUAAGCACUCCGCCUGGGGAGUACGUACGCAAGUAUGAAACUCAAAGGAAUUGACGGGGACCCGCACAAGCAGCGGAGCAUGUGGUUUAAUUCGAAGCAACGCGAAGAACCUUACCAAGUCUUGACAUAUUUCGGAAGGUUUUAGAGAUAAAACUUUAUGACUUCGGUCAACUGAAAUACAGGUGGUGCAUGGUUGU
This 259-nucleotide ribosomal RNA is filed under the name uncultured bacterium. Its description in RNAcentral is "partial 16S ribosomal RNA". It matches the Rfam family "Bacterial small subunit ribosomal RNA", at positions 795 to 1052 of the family's 1533-position model. The record is from RNAcentral.